GCUUUUAAAGGAAAAUAGCCUUCCCCUGGUCUUAGGAUCCAGCAACUCUUGGUGCAAAUCCAUGUAAAAGCU
RNAcentral lists this transfer RNA (72 nucleotides) under Calyptocephallela gayi (helmeted water toad). RNAcentral's name for it is "tRNA-Leu". The record is from RNAcentral. Lineage: Eukaryota; Metazoa; Chordata; Amphibia; Anura; Calyptocephalellidae.